GAUGAACGCUGGCGGCGUGCCUAAUACAUGCAAGUCGAGCGAACGGACGAGAAGCUUGCUUCUCUGAUGUUAGCGGCGGACGGGUGAGUAACACGUGGAUAACCUACCUAUAAGACUGGGAUAACUUCGGGAAACCGGAGCUAAUACCGGAUAAUAUUUUGAACCGCAUGGUUCAAAAGUGAAAGACGGUCUUGCUGUCACUUAUAGAUGGAUCCGCGCUGCAUUAGCUAGUUGGUAAGGUAACGGCUUACCAAGGCAACGAUGCAUAGCCGACCUGAGAGGGUGAUCGACCACACUGGAACUGAGACACGGUCCAGACUCCUACGGGAGGCAGCAGUAGGGAAUCUUCCGCAAUGGGCGAAAGCCUGACGGAGCAACGCCGCGUGAGUGAUGAAGGUCUUCGGAUCGUAAAACUCUGUUAUUAGGGAAGAACAUAUGUGUAAGUAACUGUGCACAUCUUGACGGUACCUAAUCAGAAAGCCACGGCUAACUACGUGCCAGCAGCCGCGGUAAUACGUAGGUGGCAAGCGUUAUCCGGAAUUAUUGGGCGUAAAGCGCGCGUAGGCGGUUUUUUAAGUCUGAUGUGAAAGCCCACGGCUCAACCGUGGAGGGUCAUUGGAAACUGGAAAACUUGAGUGCAGAAGAGGAAAGUGGAAUUCCAUGUGUAGCGGUGAAAUGCGCAGAGAUAUGGAGGAACACCAGUGGCGAAGGCGACUUUCUGGUCUGUAACUGACGCUGAUGUGCGAAAGCGUGGGGAUCAAACAGGAUUAGAUACCCUGGUAGUCCACGCCGUAAACGAUGAGUGCUAAGUGUUAGGGGGUUUCCGCCCCUUAGUGCUGCAGCUAACGCAUUAAGCACUCCGCCUAGGGAGUACGACCGCAAGGUUGAAACUCAAAGGAAUUGACGGGGACCCGCACAAGCGGUGGAGCAUGUGGUUUAAUUCGAAGCAACGCGAAGAACCUUACCAAAUCUUGACAUCCUUUGACAACUCUAGAGAUAGAGCCUUCCCCUUCGGGGGACAAAGUGACAGGUGGUGCAUGGUUGUCGUCAGCUCGUGUCGUGAGAUGUUGGGUUAAGUCCCGCAACGAGCGCAACCCUUAAGCUUAGUUGCCAUCAUUAAGUUGGGCACUCUAAGCUGACUGCCGGUGACAAACCGGAGGAAGGUGGGGAUGACGUCAAAUCAUCAUGCCCCUUAUGAUUUGGGCUACACACGUGCUACAAUGGACAAUACAAAGGGCAGCGAAACCGCGAGGUCAAGCAAAUCCCAUAAAGUUGUUCUCAGUUCGGAUUGUAGUCUGCAACUCGACUACAUGAAGCUGGAAUCGCUAGUAAUCGUAGAUCAGCAUGCUACGGUGAAUACGUUCCCGGGUCU
RNAcentral lists this ribosomal RNA (1372 nucleotides) under uncultured bacterium. Its description in RNAcentral is "bacterial SSU rRNA". It matches the Rfam family "Bacterial small subunit ribosomal RNA", at positions 28 to 1381 of the family's 1533-position model. The record is from RNAcentral.